CGCNUGGGAACGUACCCCAAAGNGAGGGAUAAGCCCGAGAAAUCGGGUCUAAUACCGCAUAUGAUCUUCGGAUUAAAGGAUUUAUCCGCUUUGGGAGCGGCCUGCGUACGAUUAGAUAGUUGGUGAGGUAAUGGCUUACCAAGUCUACGAUCGUUAGCUGGUCUGAGAGGAUGACCAGCCAGACUGGAACUGAGACACGGUCCAGACUCCUACGGGAGGCAGCAGUAAGGAAUCUUCCACAAUGGACGAAAGUCUGAUGGAGCAACUCCGCGUGCAGGAUGAAGGCCUUCGGGUUGUAAACUGCUUUUAUUUGUGAAGAAUAUGACGGUAACAAAUGAAUAAGGGUCGGCUAACUACGUGCCANCAGCCGCGGUCAUACGUAGGACCCAAGCGUUAUCCGGAGUGACUGGGCGUAAAGAGUUGCGUAGGUGGGUCAGUAAAGCGAAUAGUNGAAANUNUGGUGGCUCAACCCACACAGGCUAUUAUUUGAACUCACUGACUCGAGNAAUGGUAGAGGUAACUGGAAUUUCUAGUGUAGGAGUGAAAUCCGUAGAUAUUAGAAGGAACACCAAUGGCGUAAGCAGGUUACUGGACCAUUUCUGACACUGAGGCACGAAAGCGUGGGGAGCGAACCGGAUUAGAUACCCGGGUAGUCCACGCCGUAAACGAUGGAUACUAGCUGUUGGAGGUAUCGACCCCCUCCAGUAGCGAAGCUAACGCNGUUAAGUAUCCCGCCUGUGGAGUNACGGUCGCAAGACUAAAACAUAAAGGAAUUGACGGGGACCCGCACAAGCGGUGGAUCGUGUUCUUUAAUUCGAGGCUAAACGAAGAACCUUACCAGGACUUGACAUCCUUGGAAUUACUGCGAAAGCAGUGAGUGCUUUAUUGAACCAAGUGACAGGUGUUGCAUGGCCGUCGUCAGCUCGUGUCGUGAGAUGUUGGGUUAAGUCCCGUAACGAGCGCAACCCUCGCCCUUAGUUACCAGCAGUUCGGCUGGGGACUCUAAGGGGACUGCCGGUGAUAAACCGGAGGAAGGCGGGGAUGACGUCAAGUCAUCAUGGCCCUUACGAGUAGGGCAACACACGUGCUACAAUGGGCAGUACAGAGGGUCGCCAACCCGCGAGGGGGAGCUAAUCUCAAAAAACUGCUCGUAGUCCAGAUUGGAGUCUGCAACUCGACUCCAUGAAGUCGGAAUCGCUAGUAAUCGCGGAUCAGCACGCCGCGGUGAAUACGUUCCCGGGCCUUGUACACACCGCCCGUCACACCAUGGGAGUGGCUUGUACCAGAAGCGGGUAGGAUAACCGAAANGAGUCCGCCC
Molecule: ribosomal RNA, 1318 nt
Filed under: uncultured bacterium
Lineage: Bacteria
Description: partial 16S ribosomal RNA
Rfam family: Bacterial small subunit ribosomal RNA
Source: RNAcentral